This 468-nucleotide ribosomal RNA is filed under the name uncultured bacterium. RNAcentral's name for it is "partial 16S ribosomal RNA". It matches the Rfam family "Bacterial small subunit ribosomal RNA", at positions 28 to 507 of the family's 1533-position model. The record is from RNAcentral.
GACGAACGCUGGCGGCGUGCUUAACACAUGCAAGUCGAACGGACGGGCCCUGCUUUUGUGGGGUGCUCGAUUGGCGAACGGGUGAGUAACACGUGUGUAACCUGCCCUUAUCUUUGGGAUAACUUCAGGAAACUGGGGCUCAUACCGGAUAGGAGCUCCUGCUGCGUGGGGGGGGUUGGAAAGUUUCGGCGGUUGGGGAUGGACUCGCGGCUUCUCAGCUUCUUGGGGGAGUAGUUGCUUUCCAAGGCUUUGACGGGUAGGCGGCCUGGGAGGGUGACCGGCGACAUUGGGACUGAGAUACGGCCCAGACUCCUACGGGAGGCAGCAGUGGGGAAUAUUGCACAAUGGGCGGAAGCGUGAUGCAGCAGCGCCGCGUGCGGGAUGCCGGCCUUCGGGUUGUGAACCGCUUUCGACUGUGACGAAGCGUGAGUGACGGUACUGGGUAAAGAAGCACCGGCUAACUACGUG